GAGAGAGGCGGAAGGGUGAGUAAUGCCUAGGAAUCUGCCUGGUAGUGGGGGAUAACGCUCGGAAACGGACGCUAAUACCGCAUACGUCCUACGGGAGAAAGCAGGGGACCUUCGGGCCUUGCGCUAUCAGAUGAGCCUAGGUCGGAUUAGCUAGUUGGUGAGGUAAUGGCUCACCAAGGCGACGAUCCGUAACUGGUCUGAGAGGAUGAUCAGUCACACUGGAACUGAGACACGGUCCAGACUCCUACGGGAGGCAGCAGUGGGGAAUAUUGGACAAUGGGCGAAAGCCUGAUCCAGCCAUGCCGCGUGUGUGAAGAAGGUCUUCGGAUUGUAAAGCACUUUAAGUUGGGAGGAAGGGCAGUAAAUUAAUACUUUGCUGUUUUGACGUUACCGACAGAAUAAGCACCGGCUAACUCUGUGCCAGCAGCCGCGGUAAUACAGAGGGUGCAAGCGUUAAUCGGAAUUACUGGGCGUAAAGCGCGCGUAGGUGGUUUGUUAAG
RNAcentral lists this ribosomal RNA (500 nucleotides) under Pseudomonas sp. RNAcentral's name for it is "bacterial SSU rRNA". It matches the Rfam family "Bacterial small subunit ribosomal RNA", at positions 91 to 587 of the family's 1533-position model. Lineage: Bacteria; Pseudomonadati; Pseudomonadota; Gammaproteobacteria; Pseudomonadales; Pseudomonadaceae. The record is from RNAcentral.